RNAcentral lists this long non-coding RNA (377 nucleotides) under Homo sapiens (human). Its description in RNAcentral is "non-protein coding lnc-GDAP2-1:5". The record is from RNAcentral. Lineage: Eukaryota; Metazoa; Chordata; Mammalia; Primates; Hominidae.
UGCUAUUCCUGCCGCAUAACUCUCUCUUCCCCAGGCUUUUCCCAUCUCCAUCCUAUUCUCUCGCAGGUGCUGGGGGAAAAGAUUACUUCCCAGAUGCAGUAUUUACAUCUCCUCCGCCCUACUCUUCCAACCCUGCCUGAAAUAAGUGUGGUUCUCCUGUCUGUCAGACUAUGAAGAGUUCUCAAAUAUGUCUUUCCCAGCGAGGGAGAGGAGAAAACUUCAGCCUCCACGAUCGAUGUUUCUCAAGUGUCAAGGAAAAUGGAGCCUAGGAGGGCAGCCCCACAAGCAGCGUGAUGGGCAUUUAAGCCGACGCAUGUGCCAGGUCCUAGAACAGAGUAACUUCCCCAUCUCAACACAAUAAAAUGGUGAUAUGAGAA